This 272-nucleotide unclassified non-coding RNA is filed under the name Hevea brasiliensis (rubber tree). Lineage: Eukaryota; Viridiplantae; Streptophyta; Magnoliopsida; Malpighiales; Euphorbiaceae. The record is from RNAcentral.
UUUGGCACUGCAUAUUUUGUUUGUGCAAAUUUUGUGGGAUGGCCAGCAGGAAUACAUGCCAGAGAGAUGAUAAUAAUGCUUCUCCAUCACUUGCAUUGCUUACAUGUUGUUUAUGUGAGGAUAAAUACCACCAACCCUGUACCCAUGCUAAGGAUGCUAUAAGUGAUGAUCCUGAUAGUUUGGAAUUUUGUGGAAAGAAAUGCAAAGAGUUAUACAAUAGACUGCAGAUGCUUUUUGGGGUAAAACAAGAACUGGAUGAAGGAUUUUCAUGG